CACUGGGCUGAUUUACACCAGCCCGGGAGCUGACCAUUGUAUAUUAAUAUUACGGAGGGAAAAUGGAAAUAGCUUCUGCUGUGUUGUCUCUACCUUAGCAACUGGGGUGUUAAAAAUCCAAAUGCUGCAGUCUAAGGGGCGUUUGGGCUCAGGGCUUACCUGCUAAUUUCAACACAAAUACCCUGCAGUCUGCAGGCCACGUGUGCAGCUGUUAAAAUAGGAUCCGGCUGAAUUAUGCCUGCAAGCAAGUUUUCUCUGUGCCCUUGUGCUAAAUGGGAGAAAAAUCAGUAUUUGCGGAAAGGUGAGCAAAUGGAAUUCUUCUGACUGGUGUUGCCUUUGAAUCAUCUCAACUCCCAGGCAGAGAUGGCCUCAGCUUCAGGCUAAGUGCCACAGACCAAAGAACAAAAAGCUGGACAGAUCAGGCUCCCCUGCUAGCAAAUCAGGCUGCAAGCUUCUCUGCAUCUUCUCUGUUACUGAGCAAUGGCAAACUCGCCCCCUCUCCGCCCCCAUGAGGAGCAGUGCAGUCCAGUGAGGACCAUCACGUGAGAAGAGACUAUCUGGUUUGGCCAAUGUACAUCGCAGAGGGGCAUUGCUGGAAC
This is a long non-coding RNA of Chelonia mydas (Green sea turtle), 599 nucleotides long. RefSeq lists it as uncharacterized. The record is from RefSeq and is a predicted model, not a curated record. The transcript is spliced from 3 exons. NCBI's taxonomy places the organism in Eukaryota, Metazoa, Chordata, Testudines, Cheloniidae.